This 363-nucleotide ribosomal RNA is filed under the name Babesia sp. BCS-2013a. Its description in RNAcentral is "SSU rRNA". It matches the Rfam family "Eukaryotic small subunit ribosomal RNA", at positions 485 to 911 of the family's 1831-position model. Lineage: Eukaryota; Apicomplexa; Aconoidasida; Piroplasmida; Babesiidae. The record is from RNAcentral.
ACAGGGCUUAAGUCUUGUAAUUGGAAUGAUGGUGCCUUAAACCCUCACCAGAGUACCAAUUGGAGGGCAAGUCUGGUGCCAGCAGCCGCGGUAAUUCCAGCUCCAAUAGCGUAUAUUAAACUUGUUGCAGUUAAAAAGCUCGUAGUUGAAUUUCAGCGUUUCCUUUUCUUUGCUUUGUCGCUUUGAUUUGGUUUCGCUUUUGUUUUUACUUUGAGAAAAUUAGAGUGUUUCAAGCAGACUUUUGUCUUGAAUACUUCAGCAUGGAAUAAUAGAGUAGGACCGUAGUCCUAUUUUGUUGGUUUUGUGGACUACUGUAAUGGUUAAUAGGAACGGUUGGGGGCAUUCGUAUUUGACUGUCAGAGG